Molecule: ribosomal RNA, 465 nt
Filed under: uncultured bacterium
Lineage: Bacteria
Description: partial 16S ribosomal RNA
Rfam family: Bacterial small subunit ribosomal RNA
Source: RNAcentral
CCUACGGGGGGCAGCAGUGGGGAAUAUUGCGCAAUGGGCGAAAGCCUGACGCAGCGACGCCGCGUGAGGGAUGAAGGUCUUCGGAUCGUAAACCUCUGUCAGCAGGGAAGAACGGUCACUGUGCUAAUCAGCAGUGAAUUGACGGUACCUGCAAAGGCAGCACCGGCUAACUCCGUGCCAGCAGCCGCGGUAAUACGGAGGGUGCGAGCGUUAAUCGGAAUUACUGGGCGUAAAGCGCUCGUAGGCGGUAUGUCAAGUCAAGGGUGAAAUCCCCGCGCUCAACGUGGGAACUGCCUUUGAAACUGGCAAACUGGAGUGUGUGAGAGGAGAGUGGAAGUCCAGGUGUAGGAGUGAAAUCCGUAGAUAUCUGGAGGAACAUCAGUGGCGAAGGCGACUAUCUGGAACAUAACUGACGCUGAGGAGCGAAAGCGUGGGUAGCAAACAGGAUUAGAUACCCUAGUAGUC